GGAGAGGUGGCGGAGUGGUCGAUCGCGCCGGUCUCGAAAACCGGAGUGGGUGCAAGCCCACCGUGGGUUCGAAUCCCACCCUCUCCGCCA
RNAcentral lists this transfer RNA (90 nucleotides) under bacterium. RNAcentral's name for it is "tRNA-Ser". It matches the Rfam family "tRNA". From Rfam's summary of the family: Transfer RNA (tRNA) molecules are approximately 80 nucleotides in length. Their secondary structure includes four short double-helical elements and three loops (D, anti-codon, and T loops). The record is from RNAcentral. RNAcentral also lists the same sequence under 5 other names.